CAGUCGCCGCGGUAAUACGGAGGGGGCUAGCGUUGUUCGGAAUUACUGGGCGUAAAGCGCACGUAGGCGGCUUGGUAAGUUAGAGGUGAAAGCCUGGAGCUCAACUCCAGAAUUGCCUUUAAGACUGCCGAGCUAGCAGGUGAGAGAGGUAAGUGGAAUUCCGAGUGUAGAGGUGAAAUUCGUAGAUAUUCGGUAGAACACCAGUGGCGAAGGCGGCUUACUGGCUCAUACUGGACGCUGAGGUGCGAAAGCGUGGGGAGCAAACAGGAUUAGAUACCCCAGUAGUCCCUGUCUCUUAUAC
Molecule: ribosomal RNA, 301 nt
Filed under: uncultured bacterium
Lineage: Bacteria
Description: partial 16S ribosomal RNA
Rfam family: Bacterial small subunit ribosomal RNA
Source: RNAcentral